AUAUCCCCAGCAACUUUAAAUAAAUUCUGUAGGUAUAUCUAGAAGGAACCCCAGUUUCUGGAGAGGUUCAUGAAAUGUAUCUGGCUGUUUUUCUGUAGUGUUUAAAACCCUAGUUUUAGAUCAACAACAGCUACUACAUUGUACUUAUUAUGAUAAAAUAUUUUUAAAAAUCAACUGUAUCUCUUUCUUUCAAAGGGCAUUCUCAGGGAACACCCACCUCCAAAAAGUCAGCCAAAAAAAAAAAAGGAAGAGGUGCUAACUGUCUCUUUUCCUUCCCAUUUCUCAAGCUUCCAGCCACAGUUAGCAUUUCCGCCCCAGUGGUCACACUUACACCUACGAAUGUUACCAAGGCUAUGAUCAAUUUGCAGGCUUUCUUGGGGAAGCCCUCUUAUAAUUCCUCCCACCCCUUGAAAACCAAUUCUGCCUGUGAAUCUAGAGGGACGUAGGAAGUCAACGGUCUGAAGCAAUUUUAACUUCUUUAUUUCUUCUUUCCUGGCGAUAGUCUUUCUGAAGGAUGAACAAAUUUCCCUGGUGAUGAAAUUACUACAAAAGCUUUUCUGUUUUAGCUUAUGAUGAGUCUCUGCUUGAUUAGUCCUGGGCCAAAAAGACCAAAAUCCCAGAGGCAAUUGAGUACCUGCGCUGGCUCUCAACAGGAACCUUACAUUCAAGAGUAUAAAUAAUGAGGAUGUGCGCAUCUGUCAGAGGAAGGGAAUCGGGAAGAGGAAAGGUAAAGAUUACCAAGAGUGGUUUACCCUGGGAGAAAAUGUGGAUGUGAAGUACCACUGCCCAUGGCACUUCCGUCGCCAGUCCAUCCAUGUUGUGGGAAAUCUCCAGCAAGAUUCCAAUGGACCCAGGGCCUGGGAUAUAGCUUAGUGGCACAAGUGCCUGCCUGGCAAAUGCAAGGUCCUGAGUUCAAUUCC
Long non-coding RNA from Chinchilla lanigera (long-tailed chinchilla), 920 nucleotides. RefSeq lists it as uncharacterized. The transcript is spliced from 3 exons. NCBI's taxonomy places the organism in Eukaryota, Metazoa, Chordata, Mammalia, Rodentia, Chinchillidae. The record is from RefSeq and is a predicted model, not a curated record.